Molecule: ribosomal RNA, 486 nt
Filed under: uncultured bacterium
Lineage: Bacteria
Description: partial 16S ribosomal RNA
Rfam family: Bacterial small subunit ribosomal RNA
Source: RNAcentral
AUUGAACGCUGGCGGCAUGCCUUACACAUGCAAGUCGAACGGCAGCACGGGUGCUUGCACCUGGUGGCGAGUGGCGAACGGGUGAGUAAUACAUCGGGACAUGUCCUGUAGUGGGGGAUAGCCCGGCGAAAGCCGGAUUAAUACCGCAUACGAUCUACGGAUGAAAGCGGGGGACCUUCGGGCCUCGCGCUAUAGGGUUGGCCGAUGGCUGAUUAGCUAGUUGGUGGGGUAAAGGCCUACCAAGGCGACGAUCAGUAGCUGGUCUGAGAGGACGACCAGCCACACUGGGACUGAGACACGGCCCAGACUCCUACGGGAGGCAGCAGUGGGGAAUUUUGGACAAUGGGCGAAAGCCUGAUCCAGCAACGCCGCGUGUGUGAAGAAGGCCUUCGGGUUGUAAAGCACUUUUGUCCGGAAAGAAAUCCUUGGCCCUAAUACGGUCGGGGGAUGACGGUACCGGAAGAAUAAGCACCGGCUAACUACGUG